This 459-nucleotide ribosomal RNA is filed under the name uncultured bacterium. RNAcentral's name for it is "bacterial SSU rRNA". It matches the Rfam family "Bacterial small subunit ribosomal RNA", at positions 29 to 533 of the family's 1533-position model. The record is from RNAcentral.
AACGAACGCUGGCGGCAGGCCUAACACAUGCAAGUCGAACGCUGUAGCAAUACAGAGUGGCAGACGGGUGAGUAACACGUGGGAACGUACCCUUCGGUUCGGAAUAACUCAGGGAAACUUGAGCUAAUACCGGAUACGUCCGAGAGGAGAAAGAUUUAUCGCCGAAGGAUCGGCCCGCGUCUGAUUAGCUUGUUGGUGAGGUAACGGCUCACCAAGGCGACGAUCAGUAGCUGGUCUGAGAGGAUGAUCAGCCACAUUGGGACUGAGACACGGCCCAAACUCCUACGGGAGGCAGCAGUGGGGAAUAUUGGACAAUGGGCGCAAGCCUGAUCCAGCCAUGCCGCGUGAGUGAUGAAGGCCCGUAGGGUUGUAAAGCUCUUUACUCGGGAAGAUAAUGACGGUACCGAGAGAAUAAGACCCGGCUAACUUCGUGCCAGCAGCCGCGGUAAAGUCUAGCAU